AGAGUUUGAUCAUGGCUCAGGACGAACGCUGGCGGCGUGCUUAAUACAUGCAAGUCGAGCGGACCCAGCAGAUUGUCUCUGGUUUCCAGAGACAAUCUGCGACGGUUAGCGGCGAACGGGUGAGUAACGCGUGGGUAAUCUGCCCCCAAGACCGGGAUAACAGUGCGAAAGCGCUGCUAAUACCGGAUAAUCUCUUCUUGUCGCAUGAUAGGGAGAGCAAAGCUCCGGCGCUUGGGGAUGAGCCCGCGUUCCAUUAGCUAGUUGGUGAGGUAACGGCUCACCAAGGCGACGAUGGAUAGCCGGCCUGAGAGGGUGACCGGCCACACUGGGACUGAGACACGGCCCAGACUCCUACGGGAGGCAGCAGUAGGGAAUUUUCGGCAAUGGGGGAAACCCUGACCGAGCAACGCCGCGUGGGGGAAGAAGGCCUUCGGGUCGUAAACCUCUGUCUUUGGGGACGAUAAUGACGGUACCCGAGGAGGAAGCCCCGGCUAACUACGUGCCAGCAGCCGCGGUAAU
Molecule: ribosomal RNA, 519 nt
Filed under: uncultured bacterium
Lineage: Bacteria
Description: bacterial SSU rRNA
Rfam family: Bacterial small subunit ribosomal RNA
Source: RNAcentral